AGCUCCAAUAGCGUAUAUUAAAGUUGUUGCAGUUAAAAAGCUCGUAGUUGAAUUUCUGGGUAUUAACUUUCGGUCCGGUGGCUUAGUCUACUGUGUACUGUUAAUGUUGUAUCCAUCUUAGUAGUGAUUGUUACUGGCAUUUAUUUGUUGGUAGCAGGAGCUGCUUCGUUUACUGUGAAAAAAUUAGAGUGUUUAAAGCAGGCGUUACGCCUUGAAUACUUCAGCAUGGAAUAAAAAGAUAGGACUUUGGUGCUAUUUUAUUGGUUUGCACACCAAGUAAUGAUUAAUAGGGAUAGUUGGGGGUAUUCAUAUUUGAUUGUCAGAGGUGAAAUUCUUGGAUUUAUAAAAGAUGAACUUAUGCGAAAGCAUUUACCAAGGAUGUUUUCAUUAAUCAAGAACG
Molecule: ribosomal RNA, 400 nt
Filed under: phytoplankton environmental sample
Lineage: Eukaryota
Description: partial small subunit ribosomal RNA
Rfam family: Eukaryotic small subunit ribosomal RNA
Source: RNAcentral